UCGGAUAUGGUGUAACGGCUAACAUGGCUGUCUUUCAACCAAGCCAGUAGGAUCACAGCAGCCCCGGGUUCGACUCCCGGUAUCCGAA
Paxillus rubicundulus Ve08.2h10 is the source of this 88-nucleotide non-coding RNA. NCBI's taxonomy places the organism in Eukaryota, Fungi, Basidiomycota, Agaricomycetes, Boletales, Paxillaceae. The record is from Rfam.